UACGGAGGGGGCUAGCGUUGUUCGGAAUUACUGGGCGUAAAGCGUGCGCAGGCGGCUUCUCAAGUCAGGGGUGAAAGCCCAGAGCUCAACUCUGGAAUUGCCUUUGAGACUGAGUGGCUUGAGUACGAGAGAGGUGAGUGGAAUUCCCAGUGUAGAGGUGAAAUUCGUAGAUAUUGGGAAGAACACCGGUGGCGAAGGCGGCUCACUGGCUAGAAACUGACGCUCAUGCACGACAGAGUGGGGAGCAAACAGG
Molecule: ribosomal RNA, 253 nt
Filed under: uncultured bacterium
Lineage: Bacteria
Description: partial 16S ribosomal RNA
Rfam family: Bacterial small subunit ribosomal RNA
Source: RNAcentral